GGGUUGUGAGGUUAAGCGACUAAGCGUACACGGUGGAUGCCCUGGCAGUCAGAGGCGAUGAAGGGCGUGCUAAUCUGCGAUAAGCGCCGGUAAGGUGAU
This 99-nucleotide ribosomal RNA is filed under the name Salmonella enterica subsp. enterica serovar Muenchen. RNAcentral's name for it is "partial 23S ribosomal RNA". It matches the Rfam family "Bacterial large subunit ribosomal RNA", at positions 1 to 90 of the family's 2925-position model. Lineage: Bacteria; Pseudomonadati; Pseudomonadota; Gammaproteobacteria; Enterobacterales; Enterobacteriaceae. The record is from RNAcentral. RNAcentral also lists the same sequence under 11 other names.